Molecule: long non-coding RNA, 6384 nt
Organism: Salarias fasciatus (jewelled blenny)
Lineage: Eukaryota; Metazoa; Chordata; Actinopteri; Blenniiformes; Blenniidae
Exons: 2
Source: RefSeq, a predicted model, not a curated record
UCUUUGGGAGGAGCUUUCAAUCCCAGUACGCGCUUCAAUCCUGAGGGGUGAACUGCUUCAGUGCUGACAAAUGAGUCACUGUCUCACACUACUGAGAUGACAGGCAGGGAAAUUAUUCUCUGAAUUGGAAAGAUAACUGCGCCUGCUGUUACUGACAUUACGCAAACUAGCCCCGCACACACACACACACACACACACACACACGCAUGCACGUGACUUACUGAGCUUGUCGUGGCUGCAGAAGUUUCCCAAAGUGAGUGGAGUCGUUCUGCCGGAGUGCCUUCCAGCUCGGGAGUCCUCCCCGCUGCACGUCUAACGGGAGAAACGUCAACUACAGCGGCUCCGCUUCACUUCUGCUCCGUCGACAGCAGCGGCCAUUCCGUCAUUCUUCACAUUUUUCUGCCCGAAACCUCCAUUUUCACACUCCGCGGCUCCGUCCUUCCAGCUCCACACACCGACUGACACACAGCGGGCAAGUGUCAGACUGGAGGACGCGGAGGGCGACGGCGGUGAGGGAGAAGAAGAAGAAGAUGAGGAGUAGGAGGAGGAGGAGGAGGAGGAGGGCGGAGCAGGAUGCCUCCAAACGGCUUCACGGGCACUUUUUUUUUCUAAAACCUCAGUUGCUCUUCUUCCGCAUCGGACCCAGAAGACUUCCCUUCACGUGAGCGCAGUACCUUUACAUGAAUGACAGAGCUGGAUUCACUGCAAACACACUUCAUGCUCACAAAAACACUUUCUAAAAUUGGAACAUCCUGUCGAAGCUCGGCAUCAAACCCAGUGUCGCUGCACAGGUGUGAAUGUUAUGUGUCUUCAUGUGAAAACAUGUCAGGUCAGUUUUGUACCACCUCUGUGGCUGGCCCGUGUCUAUCUCACCUUCACAUUUAGCCUUUUGAGUAUUUGAAAGUCUCAGGUUUUUCACAGGAAAACCACACAAGCUGUUUCAAUGAUCUUUUUUCUUGUCAACCUUUUUUCAUUCUUUUAACGUUGUUCUUUGUGUUACUGAAAUGACUUGAGUUUGAGUUGAGCCACGUCACCAGGAUGCUUAAAGACUUGAGGAAGCUCAGAAUGAACAGCAGUUGUUUAAAUACUGUAGAGUUUUUAUUGUGAGGUCGAGGUUUGCUUUAGUGUUCAAGCUCAGUCAAUCAGACUCAGUGACCCUGGUAUCAGCGUCACUGUGCUGCAGGUGGGAAACAGCUUCGUGUCGUGUCCUGAACUGUGGUCCGUCACGUCUCGGUGUGAUUCUCUCACCUGCCUUCAGCACUGCAGGACUUCCUCAUCGCUGAGAGUUUGAGACUAGUUUCCUCUAACCUCCCUUCUGUUUCUCUGCAUGUCUGUGUGGUGGAGUGCAUCCCCUGGGUGUAAUUGAUAAGUUGCAUUAAACUGUUGAAAGUUUCGCAAAUGUUUGUUAUUCCCUGUAAGUUUUGAUGAUGGAAAUGCCUAUUCACUAAAAUCUCAUGUGAUGAUUUUUCAGUUCAUUUAUAGGAAGCAGUUUGAUGUAACGCUAUACGUUCCUGUGUUUACUGAAGUCACACUUUCUUUUAGUUAUUCCUGUUCUCCUUCUGACUCUGAGCAUUAGGGAAACUUUGAUACAAAGGAGUGCGUUACAGUGCAGGUAACAAAUUAGUGCACUUCAUUUAAACAGUGUGAAAACUAAGAAAAAUAAAUGAACUCUAAAGCAAAUAUCUUGGGCUGUGUGAAGGGACAUGUUUCGGGUGUGGCUGUUUGCAACUUGCAAAGAAAGUGUGUGAAUGGCUUCACCUUCCUGCUUGGCCACCACAAUGAAACUGUCCUCAUAAAGAAUCCACUGGAAGUUUUUCAAAUAUACCACAUCAGGUGUGUCCUGCUUGAUGAUAUUUCCUCUUAUGAAAGCAUCUACUUUGCAUGUGACUGGAAUGUUGCAGGACGGAGGAAUCUCCAGCGGAUCGUGGAGCAUAAUUACAAAGAUCGCUUCGACUCCAAGAAACUGCUGCGCUAUUGAUCCAGGUUCAGUUUCAAAAUGUGGAAGUUUUUUGAUGUCACUGUGUGUUUUACAGAGAUGGAAAUGCAAGACUAGUUCUAUUUCCCAGCUUCAUGGUAGUUUCUGCCAGACAAGGAACCUAAUUAUCUACGUAAACUUCCUUCUAAACGCAGCUCACGACUCCACCUUGUGAUAUAAAGAGCUUGAGCAGACUAGACUGGUCUGCUAAAAGCUGAUUGUUGAGUUUACAGUGAAGCAGAUAUCACACAACUUUAGUUUGGAGUGUUGGUUUUGUCCCCUAUGAACUCUUCACUUGCAGUGACAAGAGUCAAACCUGACAAACUUCACCAGGACAAUGAAGUGUGUGGACUGACUGCAGAGAGCUUGGAGUGAUGGUGAUAUUUGAACUCUGAGCAGUUCUCGUGUCCUGUGACCAAAUCAGCUGUAGGAGAAAUGUGUGUUGCAUCCACUGCCAUCACCAAACUGAGGCAGUUUUAAUACAGGAAGAGUUAUUGACUUUGUUCAGUGGUGGACUUCUGUUUAGCCUGUUUUUAUCAGCUGGCAUCUAAUGAGCUGAAUGACAGACCUGGACCCCUGAAGAUCACCAGGAGCUGGGGAAGCUGUUUGGAAACCAGCAGGCCUACAGGGGGAAAUUGUGAAUGAAAGUGAUGAGACUCUGCUGUGGUUCAUUAGUGGAGGCCGGAGUCGCCUCCAGCUCUUUCAUGCGUUUCCAUUAUUUUAUCCAGUAACUGGUCAGUUGUGUUUCCCUGAACUGGGCUCAACAGCAGCAGCAGGUCACAGACUCACACCACAGUCAUCUGUUUAUGGAGGACGUCGGCGCUGUAAAUAAAGACACUGCCUUUGUGUGUAGACUCUCUAUGUUACAUGCCUGCAAUGCCUCAUGGGAAAAGUCAUUGGUUUUCUUGACUGAGGUGAAAAUGUAUUGAGGAGCGGUGCCUUUAGUUUCUGCAGAGCGUCUCUGUUGAUGAAAUCGGUUUUACUUAAAAACGUGUGAACCUGCCAUUGAGUUAAACAUGAGGAUGGUGAAGAGCCUGUAAAUGUGCUGAAUACAUCCGUACAUCACACAACUGGAUUUUAAUUUCAGACAGGAUUAUUUAAGGGUUUUGACUUUUUCAAGGUGCUGUCAGAGUCAAAUAUGUUUUGUGAAAUGUAUAGAAUUUUACAUGAAAAGCUUUUCAGUAUAUUUUCCUGAAUUAAACUGCUGAUUUUCUUCUUAUUUAAAAAAAUAAGUGAAUUCAACAGAUAGUACUGCAUUUUAGGAAAAUUAUAUAUUGCACCGACAAGUAGUUGUCUUCAGUUUAGACUUCACAUAAAAUAGUCAAACAUUCUGUUGAGGAUAUAAUAUAGCAGGAGUUGAAGAGAUUCUAUUUGGGUUUUUGGCUUUUUUUCCCCUGUUGAGUAUUAUAGAGUUUAAAGAAGAAUAACUACUUCAAUCCUCUGAAGUUUUCCUUAGGGCAUUGACAGAAAAUGGCCAUGCAGGCUUGAUGUUGAGCACAAAGCCUGGAAAUAAGAUCACAGCAGCCUAAAUGACAUCCAUGUGAAUUAGUGAGCUGUGUUGGAACAAAUGAACUAGUCAGGAAUCCGUUUACUGCUCCAAACGGCUUAAGAUGCUGCUCAAGGACACACAUGAACACAGUUCUCAAAAUUUAUUUGAAGACGGUGCAAAGUGACAUUCAGAAAAUAUCAAGUGAGUCAAGAAGAGUGAGGAAACCUGUAACGUCGCCCCCUGUCCUCCCUAACACAAGCGUCCGAUAUCAUUCUUGGUGCAGCCCUGGGUGCAGCACAUGCCGGCCACGCCAAGAGAAAAGUUCCUCUUCUUCUUGCUCGCCGCGGACCAGUCGAAGACGCCCGGCUCCUCCUCCUCCUGCUGCUCGGUUAAAUCUGCAGGCGGCUGAGAGUCCUCCAACGGACUGGGAUCGCUCAACUGCUGCUGCUGCUGCUGCUGCUGCUGGGUGUCACUCACAGCUCCGUAAAGGGAGAGCAGGUCUGUCAGGGAGCGAGGGGAAGCAGCGUGGAGGGGAGAGUAGGGAUCUGUCAUCUGGACUCCACGACGCCAGAUGUGCUGGUCGCUCCCCUCUGUGAUCUGACUGAGGAAACUCCACCGCAAAAGAUCUGCAAAAUUAAAAAGAAAUGACUUUGGAAGCCAACUGUUGCAGAAACCUCAAUAUUUCUAUACUUUUUCAUAUAUUAAACCCACUUUUGACUAUUUAGAGUGCCACAAAUAACAAAUCAAUCAGAGAUAAUGACUCACCCAGGUCCUCUGUGGACCGUCUCCACCGGGAGCCGCCGCAGGUGAAAAUGACCGCUCUGAUGAACUCCCUGCCGCACAGCUUCACCCCGUAGUCUCUGGGCAUGAUCAGCCUGCUCAUCAGGUCUGCCUCCACGCGGCCGCAGACGCCCCCGACGCACACCGCCGCCACGGUGAGAGUCAGCCUCCAGAGCAUCUUCACUCAAAGUAACGCUGAACGAGCCGGCCGCGUUCUCGCUGUGCAGGUGGCGUCGCCUGAGUUCCACCACUCCUGUUCCUCUGUUUCUUUUUUGUUUUUUUUUUCCCCCAAACACAAGCCUCUGUUUGUCUGUUUUCUUGAGUUUCUCUCUAAGCUGCUAGUAGAUACAAGCUUUUAUAGUGGUGGUCACUGCUUAACUCAACAACCUAUCAGGAGGAUCUCUCUCUCUCUCUCUCUCUCGUUUCCUCCCUCCCAGACACACACACACGCAAAGAAACAAUGACACACGCGUCAUUAAGACUGAUGACGGUGACGCACUUCAAGUUAUUUCUUCAAAAAUAUGAGAAUAUUGUGAAGUGUGACUUUGUGGACAUUACUCACAGAUCACCUCAGCUGGAAGACAAAAAAGGAGCCGCAGUGAAGACAGAUGACAGAGGCUUUAUCAUCUGGUGUGUGUGUGUGUGUUUGCUUGAAAUGAAGGACAGGUCUUUUUGUAAGGAUCAACAAAACAAUAAGAAAAAAGAAACUUUUUUUAACAGAUCUGUGCAAUUUUGUCUUUAUUGAAUGUACAAAUAUAUUCUCAAUAUGUGAAAAACAAAUGAGUUUGUUCACGGCGACGAAGCCUUAUGACAAUUUACAUUCAUUCAAUGACGCAAAGGGAGAAACAGCUUUGGUGUCUACAUUCAACUUCUGUUCUGAGGAUACAGCUGGAAGGAAAGUGGAUCUUUAAGUGUCAGCGUUGAGAAUCUGUAUGAUGUUUCUUAAAAAAAAAAAAAAUCUAAAAUGAAAGUCUGAGGAAGUUAAAUCUCAGUGACCCAAAAAAAAAUGGGGAAAAAAAAUGUUUUGCUUUAUUUUUCUUAUUAAAUAAGAUGAAUCUGUAUGAAAAACAUCUGAAUUUUAUGAAUUUAUUUUUCAUAGAACCUCCUGGUUCCUCUUGUAUUUGAUAAAAAAAAAAUGACACUGAUGCUAAAAAUUGGUGGAUACACUCAUUGUCACAACAAGCAAAGGGGAAAAAAAACCACUGGACGAUUAGAAACACCAGGGGGAGACAGGGAGCAGCAGACACAUGGACAGGAUCCUGUUACCAACAUGCUGCAUUUCAAAUGACUGUGUUGAUCUGAUUGAUGAUCAAGUAUCAAUCGGAUGAUAAAGUCAGACUCUGAACCUCUAACAUAAAGCACCAUUGUUUUCCUAUUGAUUAUCUGCUAAUUAUUAUACAGACAAAAAAAAACUAAUUUUGCACAAAAACACUGAGCUUUGACUGUAUGAGGAGCUUUGUGCUGUUUCCUAACUCCAACUUGUCCAUUUCAUCUACGGUCAGCUGAUUUGAGAUAUAGAUCUGUGAUAAACAGGGAGUCGAGUGCAUCCUGGUUGUGUCCCACAGCUCCGUUCAGUGAGGAGAUUUUCUACCCUCUGGUAGUCUAAUGUUUCAAAAAGCUGCUUUAAAUGCAAGCAAGCGCAAUGAUCUGUCUGCUUAAUGUGGUUUAAUUUCUAUGCCGUGAUAGCUCCCCACGCUGGCUGCAUAUUUCUAAAUAACUGCCCAUCUGAUUCAAUAUCGCAUAUAAGCCAGUCUGCUUCAUGCUACCUGCCGGGAAAGUAUUUACCUACUAGUGCACCUAUUAUAACAAACCCACAAGCACCAGAGCAUGAUUACACACACCGAUAUGGCCGAAACUUUGACUUGAAAUCCGUGAUACGAUAUUAGUGCAAACCAUGGAUUCUCACAAAGUCCAUCAUAAAAAAAAAAAAAAGCAAAAGCAGCUCAGGUGAAUGCGCCGAAUGGACGACAGACUCAUCACAACGUAACUUAAGUGCUAUUUCUCCAGGAAGGAGGCGAGGUGGCUUUGAGCGCGCCGGGCCUUCUCUAUGCUAUCGAAGGUCGGGAUCCCCAGAGGCAUGUCCAGACGGUCGCUCUCCUUCUUCAGGAUAUUCUCGGCCUCCCCUGUGCGAGGUGAAAUG